AUUGAACGCUGGCGGCAGGCCUAACACAUGCAAGUCGAGCGGAUGAAGGGAGCUUGCUCCUGGAUUCAGCGGCGGACGGGUGAGUAAUGCCUAGGAAUCUGCCUGGUAGUGGGGGAUAACGUCCGGAAACGGGCGCUAAUACCGCAUACGUCCUGAGGGAGAAAGUGGGGGAUCUUCGGACCUCACGCUAUCAGAUGAGCCUAGGUCGGAUUAGCUAGUUGGUGGGGUAAAGGCCUACCAAGGCGACGAUCCGUAACUGGUCUGAGAGGAUGAUCAGUCACACGGGAAGGGAGACACGGUCCAGACUCCUACGGGAGGCAGCAGUGGGGAAUAUUGGACAAUGGGCGAAAGCCUGAUCCAGCCAUGCCGCGUGUGUGAAGAAGGUCUUCGGAUUGUAAAGCACUUUAAGUUGGGAGGAAGGGCAGUAAGUUAAUACCUUGCUGUUUUGACGGUACCAACAGAAUAAGCACCGGCUAACUACGUG
This 484-nucleotide ribosomal RNA is filed under the name uncultured bacterium. Its description in RNAcentral is "partial 16S ribosomal RNA". It matches the Rfam family "Bacterial small subunit ribosomal RNA", at positions 30 to 507 of the family's 1533-position model. The record is from RNAcentral.